Molecule: transfer RNA, 75 nt
Filed under: Micromonas pusilla CCMP1545
Lineage: Eukaryota; Viridiplantae; Chlorophyta; Mamiellophyceae; Mamiellales; Mamiellaceae
Description: tRNA-Met
Rfam family: tRNA
About the family: Transfer RNA (tRNA) molecules are approximately 80 nucleotides in length.
Source: RNAcentral
GAUAAAGUAGCUCAGCUGGGUUAGAGCGAUGCACUCAUAAUGCAUAGGUCGAUGGUUCGACUCCAUCCUUUGUCA